This 599-nucleotide ribosomal RNA is filed under the name Franzmannia qiaohouensis. RNAcentral describes it as "bacterial SSU rRNA". It matches the Rfam family "Bacterial small subunit ribosomal RNA", at positions 81 to 676 of the family's 1533-position model. Lineage: Bacteria; Pseudomonadati; Pseudomonadota; Gammaproteobacteria; Oceanospirillales; Halomonadaceae. The record is from RNAcentral.
CUUCCUGGUGGCGAGCGGCGGACGGGUGAGUAAUGCAUAGGAAUCUGCCCGAUAGUGGGGGAUAACCUGGGGAAACCCAGGCUAAUACCGCAUACGUCCUACGGGAGAAAGCAGGGGCUCUUCGGACCUUGCGCUAUCGGAUGAGCCUAUGUCGGAUUAGCUAGUUGGUGAGGUAAUGGCUCACCAAGGCGACGAUCCGUAGCUGGUCUGAGAGGAUGAUCAGCCACAUCGGGACUGAGACACGGCCCGAACUCCUACGGGAGGCAGCAGUGGGGAAUAUUGGACAAUGGGCGCAAGCCUGAUCCAGCCAUGCCGCGUGUGUGAAGAAGGCCUUCGGGUUGUAAAGCACUUUCAGUGAGGAAGAACGCCUUGGGCCUAAUACGUCCAAGGGAAGACAUCACUCACAGAAGAAGCACCGGCUAACUCCGUGCCAGCAGCCGCGGUAAUACGGAGGGUGCGAGCGUUAAUCGGAAUUACUGGGCGUAAAGCGCGCGUAGGUGGCUUGAUAAGCCGGUUGUGAAAGCCCCGGGCUCAACCUGGGAACGGCAUCCGGAACUGUCAGGCUAGAGUGCAGGAGAGGAAGGUAGAAUUCCCGGUGU